This 918-nucleotide long non-coding RNA is filed under the name Gallus gallus (chicken). RNAcentral describes it as "long non-coding RNA NONGGAT003608". Lineage: Eukaryota; Metazoa; Chordata; Aves; Galliformes; Phasianidae. The record is from RNAcentral.
CUGGGGGGGCGCUGGGCUGUGGGUGAAUGGCGUUGUCUCUGGCAGCACAUACAGCAAGAUCAAAUGCCAAAUCUUUGGUGUUUGUGAGGAACAAAUGCCCAACAGCCAUCCCAUGGUAUGUCAGUGCUUUGUCUGACUGUAGUGUGAAGGUGUUGCUCAGGACCAGGGACACGUGGAGCUAUCGGUAAGGCUGUGAUUUCUUCUCCUCUGAAUUUGUACAGAGGGAUGAAGGGUGACCUCAUUGCAGCCUUCCAGGACCUACAGGGAGCCUCCAAACAGGAGGGGAGGCAACUGGGGAGUUGCUCUUUACAAAGUGGUCUGCAGGGCACUGCUGUCUUCAUGUCACUUGAACACAAAGCUGAUGGAAAGGGGAAUGCCUAAAGAUCAAAAGCCAAAUCUUUGGUGUUUGUGAGGAAAAAAAAUGCCCAGCAGCCGUCCUGCAGCACAUCAGUGCUUUGUCUGACUGCGGUGUGAAGGUGUUGCUCGGGACCAGGGACACUUGGACUGGUUGGUGCUACACACUCUUAGGCUACACCAUGAACAGCCUUCAUUUUCCCCUUAAGGAAUGCUGACCUUCCAGCUCCUUCCCACUGCUCCCUGUACCAAGGAGACACUUUGUUGAUGCGAGGAGUGGUGAGCAUAUUGAAGACUGACAGGAGAAAUCGCUUUGUGUCUCAAAGCACACACUGGUGAGGAUGAGAGGAUAUGUGACUGGAGUGGUGCAAACCAUGACCUGCGGGAUGGCCAGCUCUGCUCACUCAGUGUAAAACGCGCAGGAGAAUACUAGUCUCAGUCGUGGCAAUCACUGGGCAGUGCUCAUUAAUUAUUGCUAUUCUAAGUGGUCCAGACUUGCAAUAAUCUAGAAUAACAGUCCCUGAUAACAAUGCACUGAGGGCACUACCAUGCAGCCAGUCUCAG